This is a long non-coding RNA of Betta splendens (Siamese fighting fish), 3640 nucleotides long. RefSeq lists it as uncharacterized. The record is from RefSeq and is a predicted model, not a curated record. The transcript is spliced from 3 exons. NCBI's taxonomy places the organism in Eukaryota, Metazoa, Chordata, Actinopteri, Anabantiformes, Osphronemidae.
UGGCGUGUGGGAGCCUGGAGAGAGGCCAGGAUUACUGAGGACUCCUCCUUGAUCCACGUAGAUGCUUAUGGUAAUGCUCCUUGCCCAUCCCCUGCAGCUGCCUGCACUCUAUACGCACACACACACACACACACACACACACACACACACACACACACACACACACACACACACACACACACACACACACGAGGCAGAGUCCAGUUUCAUGAUCACAGCAGUCCAUAAGUAUAGGUUGUGUGUCCUGAAUCACCGGGCUUAGUGAUUCACUUCUCCCAGUGCAACCUUAGCCUUUCUCUGAGUAUGUGUGAGUCUGCGGCCCUGCGUCAGGGCUGCAGCAUUGCUGUUUAUGUCUGCUGGCGUGUGCUGUGCGCAGGCUGCACCCCGGCUGACGCACUACCACCUCAGCGGGUUAACCUAUUCUACACGCGUUCAGGCCUCUGUGCCCGCUCGGCCCAUUCGGCCAGUUUUCAUUUUCCUUCCUGUUAUCCAAAAGCAGCUACUGUAUAUUGAUGUGAGAGUUGUAUUUAUCCUGAAGCCUGACUGAAAGUAAGAAAAGAAACCAGAGCAUUUCGUAAAAUUUCGAAAAACUCUCUUUCAAUGAGUCGUGAUCCUUUUCUCACCUGAAGAACAGAGUCCUCCCGUCGGGUUUCUCCUUUCCGGCUGCUCCAGGCCAGACCACUUCUGCCCCGUCAGGCCUCUCCACCAUUACACUGGCUGCCGCGUGAGAAGCCACAGGCCUGCACUCCACCCUUAACAAAAUCAUGUCAAAAAGCAAUUAAUAUCUUAAUACCUCCAUCAGCGCCAACCACCAAAAGGUCCGACCCCUUUGUUUUUCCGCCGCUGGGCGCUCCUCGCCCGGCCCGUGGUUUCCUCGGUUUCAUUUCUCAGUGCCCUGGUGGUCAGCUGUGGUUUUCCAGGGGGCACAGGGUAGGACGUUGUGGGCAGGGAGGUCCUCCACCCCCCUGGAGCAUUAAGUACUACUGGCCAGGCCUGAGAGCUCCGGUGGCCGCAGCGCUGACCCCAUCUAAUGCAGCAGGCUGAACUCAGACCAGAGACGCUCAUCCGCUCCGCAGGCUUUCCAUCCAUUAAGGAGACGCCGGGAUAAUGGCCGACACCUCGGACUGUUUCAGCGCGCGGCUCAGGGCGUUUACUGUGAUGGGUUUUCAUUUAUUUCAACGCCGAACCAACCGUUUGAGUUCCGCCCCGAGUUCCAUUCACGGGUGGAUGUUGUGUCUAGAACGGGGAGAACUUUGGUCUUUUUUCUCUCUCUUUCCAGAUCAGGCACGUCAAGAAAUGAUUAAUGAUGUUGUCUUUUCUGUUCUUAAGCCAGAUAGCCAAAAACGCUGACGCAGCCUUUUUUUUUUUUUUGUCUCCACACAGCUUAUGCAAGCUUACGUUGCACAAGCUUCCGCCAGGCUGCGCGCUGGCCGGGGGUGAUGGCGCAACACCAGCUGAGCCGGCCAGACUUCAGGAAGUGGACUAUAAAGCGUGAAGCGUGCGAAUGAUUGCCCUGACUUGGACAAUGGUGUCUACACUCCACGCGCCAAAGGCUGCAGCCUUUUCCAGAACUUUGAUUUAUCUUUAAAGGGAAAAGACAAUGAACCAAUUGAACAGCUCGAGUUCUGAUUGCCGAUGGUUUAAGACGGAGAGAGGGUGUUGUGAUCCGCCCUGCAUUCGCGCUGAAAGGGGCCCGUUGUAGAAGAGAUUGAUUUAAUGUUUAUCCCUCUGACAGGGCAGAUAGGGAAGAGUCAUAAUUCUGUGCACUGGGGAGAUUAAAUUCCUGUAUCGCUGUCAGCUACAUUAACUGACUUCCUGGAUCUCAAUUCAAUUAGCGCAGCAGCAUUCUCUAGCAUUAAUAAAUCAAUAGUGAUGGCCUGCUGAUAGGCGCUCUGCACGCAGCAUGUUGAGGAUGCUUUCUGUCCACACACGCAUCCACCGGCGUGUCUCUGCACUGUUCAUUAACCAUUCGCAGCCCCGCCGUCGUCAGCGCUAGCUAGCGUGGCAGCGGACGUUUAAGCUACACGCGCUUUUAAGCACAGAUAGACUGACUGGAGUCCCCACACAAGUGUUUGUUCUCCUGAUCACCUUAUUGUUGCUGUCAGCUUAGUAAUUAAAGAUGGAUGGUCCCUCGAGGCCCCUUUACUCUUCACUUACUACUAGCGAAGAUGCCGAGCCACAAGGCGCUCGUGCCUGCGCGCCGAGGAGACGACGUACGCGAUUGUUUUCCAGCCGUUAAACCUCUGCAGAUGUUUGGAGACCUCGGUGACAGCCAGUGGAGAAGCAGAACCAGAUCACGGGUGCCACUGACAAGGAGGAAAGGAAGAGGGGGAAAAGAUAGGACGUGCUAUUCCAGUUGACCUUUUGGAAAGAACGUCAGAACGGUUGGGAGAAGACGUUCACAUACUUUUAUAAUUUGUUAAUUGAUCGUGUCACAUCUGCUUUGGCAGAGACAUUGCCACUAUUUGGGUUUGAGCGUGAUCUAAGUGGAUGAGAGUAUCCAGACAGUACAGCGUUAGUAGGAUCAUCUCUCUGGUACUUAAAGUAUUGUUUCUUUUAUUAAAAACUCAUUCAUAGAAGCAUUUGAUUCUUGCUUCCUAGGGUAUAAGUUAUGUUUUAGUACCUGUGCAUUUCUAAACUUUGCAAUUAGUUGACAUGGAUCUUUAUUAUUGUCUUCACCAAUCUGUGUCACUGGCCAUUUAAUUGUUCUACUCGCUGUUUUUCCAGUGGAUACUCUCGUUUCUUAGAUGUUGAUUUCACUCUGAUUACACAAACUAUACGUCACUCUAUGAAUUGCCAGAGGCUAAUUUGGCCAGUCAGCCUGAUGAGACAGUUGAUAAGGGCAUUGAUUGGCUUCUGAAGGAGGGAAGGAUUUCAUUGGGACAAAGAUAUGGGGGCAACACGGCAUUCAUUUCAGCAAUCAGCCCACCAUCCUCCCUCCUUCCUUUCCUUUCCCCAUUUGGCCAAACUCUUCCCAGAAGUCCUUCAAUAUGGAUUACACAGCAUUGUGUGCACAGUGGUAAUUCAAGGUGAAAUAAAACUCUUCUAAUCCUAUCGGCCACAGCAGCGAGCAAGAAUAGAAGGACCGAACUCAAGCUAGAGGUGAUUAGUUGUAGUUGAGCUCUCCUUUGAUUAGCAUAUCGUCCUAUUCUGGACGCUGAUUUGGUAGGAACGGUCUACUGAGCAUGUGCUCAGUAAAGUCCCUGUCUCCUCCUCUUUCUGGAUUCAACCACUGCUCCAAAAAAUCAUAGCCCUUCAUUAUCUCCAGUCAAGCAAUUUUGGGAAUAUAAUACUGUCUCAGAACUGGAGAACCUGCCCCCAUCAGGUCUGGGGCCUGAUCAAACCACUUGCACCGGGAAGCACGCCCGCCAGUCGGUUCAUCUCCCUUCAAAGGCAUAUGGUGCAAAUUUGAUCAAAAGUGUAAGAAGAGGGGGGUUUAAAGGGGGCAUUCAUGUCGCUGAUGUGAAAAAUAAGAUUGGGCUGUAAAAAACCAAAUCAAACCAUGCUCAGCUCUCUGGGAGUGAUUAGAGCCAAAGAAGAACCAGCUGCAGCGCUGUCAGACGCAUCUCAAUCUGCGCUAUGCACUGGCAGCCUGCUGGCUGGACAGGGCAAUGGAUGGAGGGGGGGGGGCGAGAAGGAG